UACGUAGGUGGCGAGCGUUGUCCGGAUUUACUGGGCGUAAAGGAUGCGUAGGCGGAUAUUUAAGUGAGAUGUGAAAUACCCGAGCUUAACUUGGGUGCUGCAUUUCAAACUGGAUAUCUAGAGUGUGGGAGAGGAGAAUGGAAUUCCUAGUGUGGCGGUGAAAUGCGUAGAGAUUAGGAAGAACACCAGUGGCGAAGGCGAUUCUCUGGACCAUAACUGACGCUGAGGCAUGAAAGCGUGGGUAGCAAACAGG
This 253-nucleotide ribosomal RNA is filed under the name uncultured bacterium. RNAcentral describes it as "partial 16S ribosomal RNA". It matches the Rfam family "Bacterial small subunit ribosomal RNA", at positions 524 to 776 of the family's 1533-position model. The record is from RNAcentral.